This 433-nucleotide ribosomal RNA is filed under the name uncultured bacterium. RNAcentral describes it as "partial 16S ribosomal RNA". It matches the Rfam family "Bacterial small subunit ribosomal RNA", at positions 29 to 507 of the family's 1533-position model. The record is from RNAcentral.
AACGAACGCUGGCGGCAUGCCUAACACAUGCAAGUCGAACGAAACCUUCGGGUCUAGUGGCGCACGGGUGCGUAACGCGUGGGAACCUUCCCUUAGGUUCGGAAUAACUCCCCGAAAGGGGUGCUAAUACCGGAUAAUGUCUUCGGACCAAAGAUUUAUCGACUUUGGAUGGGCCCGCGUUGGAUUAGCUAGUUGGUAGGGUAAAAGCCUACCAAGGCGACGAUCCAUAGCUGGGCUGAGAGGCUGAUCAGCCACACUGGGACUGAGACACGGCCCAGACUCCUACGGGAGGCAGCAGUGGGGAAUAUUGCACCAUGGGCGAAAGCCUGAUCCAGCAAUGCCGCGUGAGUGAUGAAGGCCUUAGGGUUGUAAAGCUCUUUUACCCGGGAUGAUAAUGACAGUACCGGGAGAAUAAGCUCCGGCUAACUCCGUG